This 565-nucleotide long non-coding RNA is filed under the name Cricetulus griseus (Chinese hamster). Its description in RNAcentral is "lncRNA (ENSCGRG00015032724.1)". Lineage: Eukaryota; Metazoa; Chordata; Mammalia; Rodentia; Cricetidae. The record is from RNAcentral.
CGGCGGCGCUCUAGCCGCGCCAUGUCUGCUUCUCGACUGCUCUGGGAGGAGGAAGAGAAGGAGGAAGAGGAGGAGGAGGAGGAGGGGGAGGAAGAGGAGAAAGGCGCAGGGGUGGGAGCUGUCGCCGGAGCUGCCACAGCAAAAGUUCUCUCCCCUCCCCCUCGCCCUCCUUGCCGGGCCCGUGGGAAGGUCGGAGCCGCCGCCGCCUGCAGUCGGUGACCGCGCGCCUCGGCGCCAGCCCGCGGGCCAUGUGGCUCAUGCCUAUAAUCCAGGGCCAUAGAAGCAGAGGUUGCGGCAAGUCGAGGGGCAGCCUUGUCUACAUCGCAAGCUCCAGGCCAGUUAGGAAGAUAGCGUGAGAUGCUGCACUUACCACCUCCUACCCCUACCUCCAAAAGAGAAAAUGAUUGGUUUAGAUGUUGGAGAACUAGAACUAAGGCAGAAGAGAAUCAGCAUGGGGAGAAAAGUGGUUCUGCAAGAAGGACAUUAUUAUGGUGCUUUGCCUGCAUGUAUGUCUGCAUCUACAUGCAUGCAGUGCCCCUGGAGAUCAGAAGAGGCAUUGGAUCCC